UCGUCUGAGGGGGAGAGUGGCGAACUGGUGAGUAACACGUAGGUGACCUGCCUCGAAGACGGGGAUAACCAUCGGAAACGGUGGCUAAUACCCGAUACAUUCGGCAAUUCAGUUUGUCGAGUAAAGCUCCGGCGCUUCGAGAUGGACCUGCGGCCUAUCAGCUAGUUGGUAGGGUAAUGGCCUACCAAGGCGAAGACGGGUAGGGGGCGUGAGAGCGUGGUCCCCCACACUGGCACUGAGAUACGGGCCAGACUCCUGCGGGAGGCAGCAGUCGGGGAUAUUGCACAAUCAGCGAAAGCUGGAUGCAGCGACGCCGCGUGGGCGAUGAAGGCCUUCGGGUUGUAAAGCCCUUUUAUGGGGGAAGAGAAAAAGGACGGUACCCCAAGAAUAAGUCCCGGCUAACUACGUGCCAGCAGCCGCGGUAAAACGUAGGGGACAAGCGUUAUCCGGAUUUACUGGGCGUAAAGAGCGAUGAGGCGGUACCGUAAGUUGGGCGUUAAAGCCCCGGGCUCAACUCGAGGAGGUACGUCAAUACUGCGGAA
This 542-nucleotide ribosomal RNA is filed under the name uncultured organism. RNAcentral's name for it is "bacterial SSU rRNA". It matches the Rfam family "Bacterial small subunit ribosomal RNA", at positions 77 to 640 of the family's 1533-position model. The record is from RNAcentral.